Molecule: ribosomal RNA, 637 nt
Filed under: uncultured bacterium
Lineage: Bacteria
Description: bacterial SSU rRNA
Rfam family: Bacterial small subunit ribosomal RNA
Source: RNAcentral
AGAGUUUGAUCCUGGCUCAGAACGAACGCUGGCGGCAUGCCUAACACAUGCAAGUCGAACGAAGCCUUCGGGCUUAGUGGCGCACGGGUGCGUAACGCGUGGGAAUCUGCCCCUCGGUUCGGAAUAACAGUUAGAAAUGACUGCUAAUACCGGAUGAUGACGAAAGUCCAAAGAUUUAUCGCCGAGGGAUGAGCCCGCGUAGGAUUAGCUAGUUGGUGAGGUAAAGGCUCACCAAGGCGACGAUCCUUAGCUGGUCUGAGAGGAUGAUCAGCCACACUGGGACUGAGACACGGCCCAGACUCCUACGGGAGGCAGCAGUGGGGAAUAUUGGACAAUGGGCGAAAGCCUGAUCCAGCAAUGCCGCGUGAGUGAUGAAGGCCUUAGGGUCGUAAAGCUCUUUUACCCGGGAUGAUAAUGACAGUACCGGGAGAAUAAGCUCCGGCUAACUCCGUGCCAGCAGCCGCGGUAAUACGGAGGGAGCUAGCGUUGUUCGGAAUUACUGGGCGUAAAGCGUACGUAGGCGGUUAUUCAAGUCAGAGGUGAAAGCCCGGGGCUCAACCCCGGAACUGCCUUUGAAACUAGAUAGCUAGAAUCUUGGAGAGGUCAGUGGAAUUCCGAGUGUAGAGGUGAAAUUCGU